RNAcentral lists this ribosomal RNA (442 nucleotides) under uncultured bacterium. Its description in RNAcentral is "partial 16S ribosomal RNA". It matches the Rfam family "Bacterial small subunit ribosomal RNA", at positions 338 to 795 of the family's 1533-position model. The record is from RNAcentral.
CCUACGGGAGGCAGCAGUGGGGGAUAUUGCACAAUGGGGGAAACCCUGAUGCAGCGACGCCGCGUGGGCGAAGAAGUAUUUCGGUAUGUAAAGCCCUAUCAGCAGGGAAGAAGAAAUGACGCUACCUGAGUAAGAAGCACCGGCUAAAUACGUGCAAGCAGCCGCGGUAAUACGUAUGGUGCAAGCGUUAUCCGGAUUUACUGGGUGUAAAGGGAGCGUAGGCGGCAGUGCAAGUUUGGCGGGAAAGGCGGGGGCUCAACCACCGGACUGCUCUGGAAACUGUACGGCUGGAGUGCAGGAGAGGUAAGUGGAAUUCCUAGUGUAGCGGUGAAAUGCGUAGAUAUUAGGAGGAACACCAGUGGCGAAGGCGGCUUACUGGACUGUAACUGACGUUGAGGCUCGAAAGCGUGGGGAGCAAACAGGAUUAGAUACCCUUGUAGUC